GUGGGGUCCGCCUGCUGCUGCCCUGCAGUCCUGCCUAGCCCAUGGAGGGUGCCUUGGAGCAGUGCUGCUGCUGACCAGGCCCGAGAGCCAGCCAGGCCCCUGCGGUGAUUUGGAGGCAGAGCCCGACGCCCGUGAUGGUGGGAGCCAUUCCUCGGCAGCCGCGCCGCUUCUGGGGGGUGCCCGGAUGGCAGGUGUCUCCAGCUAGCUGUGCCAACGACCGUCUGCUGCUGGGGCAGGAGAGCUGCUCGGCGAGGGGUGGGUGAUGCGGCGCUGCAGUGCACUCCAUAGCGGAGGGCUUGUCCGGAGGGAAGGGGUCUGACACACCACCCCCUUUCUUCAGCC
Molecule: long non-coding RNA, 342 nt
Organism: Terrapene triunguis (Three-toed box turtle)
Lineage: Eukaryota; Metazoa; Chordata; Testudines; Emydidae
Exons: 3
Source: RefSeq, a predicted model, not a curated record